AUUGAACGCUGGCGGCAUGCUUUACACAUGCAAGUCGAACGGCAGCACAGGGAGCUUGCUCCCGGGUGGCGAGUGGCGCACGGGUGAGUAAUACAUCGGAACGUGUCCUGUUGUGGGGGAUAACUGCUCGAAAGGGUGGCUAAUACCGCAUGAGACCUGAGGGUGAAAGCGGGGGAUCGCAAGACCUCGCGCAAUUGGAGCGGCCGAUGCCCGAUUAGCUAGUUGGUGAGGUAAAGGUUCACCAAGGCGACGAUCGGUAGCUGGUCUGAGAGGACGACCAGCCACACUGGGACUGAGACACGGCCCAGACUCCUACGGGAGGCAGCAGUGGGGAAUUUUGGACAAUGGGGGCAACCCUGAUCCAGCCAUGCCGCGUGCAGGAUGAAGGCCUUCGGGUUGUAAACUGCUUUGUCAGGGACGAAAAGGACCGUGUUAAUACCAUGGUCUGCUGACGGUACCUGAAGAAUAAGCACCGGCUAACUACGUGCC
RNAcentral lists this ribosomal RNA (489 nucleotides) under uncultured bacterium. Its description in RNAcentral is "bacterial SSU rRNA". It matches the Rfam family "Bacterial small subunit ribosomal RNA", at positions 30 to 509 of the family's 1533-position model. The record is from RNAcentral.